AUGACAACCUCGUCUCGAUCGUCUCAUCAUCCCUCCUGCAUGACGCGCCGCCUUCUGACACCAUGCAAGCGAGCCCUCGCGCGGCUCUUCCGCAUCCCGGCCUCCGCCGCCCUCUCUAUCAGGGCCUUCCGGUUCCGCAAUCUCCGCAAGUCCACCGCCAAGAUGAGCCCCCGCCACCGGCGCCGUGCCGGCCGAGGCUUCCGGUCGGUCCGCGCGGUGUUCUGGCCGUUAAUCCCUCCGUCUUCCACGCCGGCAACCUCGACAGAGAGCCAUACCACACGCAGGACGCCUGCGUAUGUGAAGAUGGUGGCGCGGCUGCGGUCGAGGACGACCGCGCGAAUUGGAGAGGAGAAAGAGGAGGCAUGCCGGAGUUUUGAGAGCUGCCUGAUGGAGAUUUUGACGGAGGAAGACAAAGCGCGGGACCUGCAGGACGUGGAGGAACUCCUACCGUGCUGGGAACGGCUCAAGUCGCCGGUGUUCGUUGAUCUGGUCUGCCGGUUCUACGGCGAUCUGUGCAAGGACUUGUUCUCCUCCGCCGCUUGGGGUGAGGACGGCGGAAACACUGACCGGGACGUGGGACCAGUUUCCAUGUCGGCUGCUUUACUAGUGUAA
RNAcentral lists this ribosomal RNA (612 nucleotides) under Triticum aestivum (bread wheat). RNAcentral's name for it is "partial small subunit ribosomal RNA". The record is from RNAcentral. Lineage: Eukaryota; Viridiplantae; Streptophyta; Magnoliopsida; Poales; Poaceae.